This 244-nucleotide ribosomal RNA is filed under the name uncultured bacterium. RNAcentral describes it as "partial 16S ribosomal RNA". It matches the Rfam family "Bacterial small subunit ribosomal RNA", at positions 9 to 241 of the family's 1533-position model. The record is from RNAcentral.
GAGUUUGUAUCAUGGCUCAGGAUGAACGCUAGCGACAGGCCUAACACAUGCAAGUCGAGGGGCAGCGGAGAGGUAUCAAUACCUUUGCCGGCGACCGGCGCACGGGUGAGUAACACGUAUGCAAUCCACCUGUAACAGGGGGAUAACCCGGAGAAAUCCGGACUAAUACCCCAUAAUAUGGGCGCUCCGCAUGGAGAGCCCAUUAAAGAGAGCAAUUUUGGUUACAGACGAGCAUGCGCUCCUA